This 354-nucleotide ribosomal RNA is filed under the name uncultured Sneathia sp. RNAcentral's name for it is "bacterial SSU rRNA". It matches the Rfam family "Bacterial small subunit ribosomal RNA", at positions 155 to 524 of the family's 1533-position model. The record is from RNAcentral. Lineage: Bacteria; Fusobacteriati; Fusobacteriota; Fusobacteriia; Fusobacteriales; Leptotrichiaceae.
CGUUACUGAUAAUAACUGGAUAAAGUUAGUAUAUCGCAUGAUAUGCAAAUGAAAGCUACGGCACUAAAGGAGAGCUUUGCGUCCCUAUUAGCUAGUUGGUAAGGUAAGAGCUACCAAGCGAUGAUAGGUAGCCGGCCUGAGAGGGUGGACGGCCACAAGGGGACUGAGAUACGGCCCUUACUCCUACGGGAGGCAGCAGUGGGGAAUAUUGGACAAUGGAGGGAACUCUGAUCCAGCAAUUCUGUGUGUGUGAAGAAGGUUUUAGGACUGUAAAACACUUUUAGUAGGGAAGAAAAAAAUGACGGUACCUACAGAAGAAGUAACGGCUAAAUACGUGCCAGCAGCCGCGGUAAU